Molecule: ribosomal RNA, 468 nt
Filed under: uncultured bacterium
Lineage: Bacteria
Description: partial 16S ribosomal RNA
Rfam family: Bacterial small subunit ribosomal RNA
Source: RNAcentral
GACGAACGCUGGCGGCGUGCUUAACACGUGCAAGUCGAACGGAAAGGCCCUGCUUUUGUGGGGUGCUCGAGUGGCGAACGGGUGAGUAACACGUGAGUAACCUGCCCUUGACUUUGGGAUAACUUCAGGAAACUGGGGCUAAUACCGGAUAGGAGCUCCUGCUGCAUGGUGGGGGUUGGAAAGUUUCGGCGGUUGGGGAUGGACUCGCGGCUUAUCAGCUUGUUGGUGGGGUUGUGGCUUACCAAGGCUUUGACGGGUAGCCGGCCUGAGAGGGUGACCGGCCACAUUGGGACUGAGAUACGGCCCAGACUCCUACGGGAGGCAGCAGUGGGGAAUAUUGCACAAUGGGCGGAAGCCUGAUGCAGCAACGCCGCGUGCGGGAUGACGGCCUUCGGGUUGUAAACCGCUUUCGCCUGUGACGAAGCGUGAGUGACGGUAAUGGGUAAAGAAGCACCGGCUAACUACGUG